This is a non-coding RNA of Coturnix japonica (Japanese quail), 730 nucleotides long. The record is from RefSeq and is a predicted model, not a curated record. NCBI's taxonomy places the organism in Eukaryota, Metazoa, Chordata, Aves, Galliformes, Phasianidae.
GAUUCUACAGUCUUUGUUGUGUUAGGUUCAUCUGAGCACAUUUCUAAAUCCAGGAUACAGGAUAUUGAGGGCGUGAUGACUACCUCAAACAGCGUCAAAUUCAUGAAACAGCGUCAUUCAUUCAAACUCUUUACACACCAAGGUCAGUGAUGAAGGGGGAGGACGUGCUCAAAGCACUGGAGCAGAAAUUCCUGUGCAGCCUAUAGAGAAACCCUCUGCAGCCCUUGUUGUACUACAUCAGAGAAUUCAUCCAUACUACUGACCAUGGAGGACCCCAACUUAACAGCAGGUGGAUAUGACCUCAAGCCACAGACUAUGGAGAGUACACACAGGAGCAGACAGAUGUUGAGGUCCCAUGGAGAACCUGUGGUGGAGCAGUCUGUACCUGAAGGAUUGAACCCUGUGGUGCAGACUUGUGUUGUAGACGUUCUUGAAGAACUGCUACCAGUGGAGAAGACCCAUUCUGGAGCAGUUAAUGAAUGACUUCUUCUGUGGGAGGACCUACACUCUGGAGUACAGGAAGAGUGUGAGGAAGCAGCAACAACAGAGAUGAAAUGUCAUAAAUUGAGUGCAACUCCCAGCCCCUGCACCUUUGUGCCACUCAGAGGAAGGAAGUCAAAGCAUCAGGAGAGAAGCUGAAUCCGGGAAGAGAGGGAGUUUUGCUUUUAUUUCUUACUGUCCUAACCUGUAAUUAAUUGAAAUUUAAUUAAAUUAACCUUUUCCAAGUCAA